This 870-nucleotide long non-coding RNA is filed under the name Selaginella moellendorffii. RNAcentral describes it as "long non-coding RNA (SMOE_LNC001184)". Lineage: Eukaryota; Viridiplantae; Streptophyta; Lycopodiopsida; Selaginellales; Selaginellaceae. The record is from RNAcentral.
CACUCUAGAUAUAAAAGCAAAUCCACAAAUAUUUUGCACAAACAAAGCCAUGAAUGCUACUAUGUACCGUGCCAUUUCUAAAGACGAUUGCAGCCUCUGGAGUGAACCCAGUGAACCGCUUCAUCUCACCGGCUUUGCAAGGCAGAAUGAUCCAGUUUCUACAGCCGAACAUCCGCUUUGCAGUCGGCACUCAAAUCAAGCUUGAAGAAGUUUGGGCAGAGCAUCAGAAUCUAUUGCCAGAGUUUCCCCAUUUUGAGGUCAAGAGAAAUUAAUAGUUAGACUGUUUAACUGAUUGUUGCUUCGGUACCAUAUGAUGAACGAUUGGAGCAUGUGAUUGUAUAUUAACCCCAGAUUCGUUUUGGCAGAGAAUGAUAUGCCUUUGGAGACAACAGCACCGCUCAACUUGGUCACGAAACCUCCAAAGAUUCACCGAUCGUCUCCCUCGUUGGAAAGCAAGUAGUUUGGAUUGGAGCCAGAUCCACUUUGUGUUCUUCAAGAGAGCUUUUCUCAACAUUAGUCAUCUAGACAGAGACAAGAUCCAUAAACAAACCGAAGAUGGAGAAAAAAAACUUACACGUAGAAUCUAGCAUGUUGCAUCUGGUCUUCUAUCCUCCGCUAGAGCUACACAGCAUAGCAAACCAAAAACUCUGGGUCACGUCCUCCAUGGUCUUGGUCAGCACGAGGGAGAGGGUCAGAACGAAAAACUCCUGUUUCCCGAGGAGCUAGGGAUGAUCUGCAAACCCGUGCAUGAGACGCAGGAGCUCCUUGAUCGCCUCGUUGUUUCCUUGUAAGCCUCUAGAACCGACUCGGCCCUGCUAAACAGCGCGUUCGCCAGCGCCACUGGCAAUUCCCCGUCCUGGCCAGCAUCUA